Acinonyx jubatus (cheetah) is the source of this 1895-nucleotide long non-coding RNA. RefSeq lists it as uncharacterized. The transcript is spliced from 4 exons. The record is from RefSeq and is a predicted model, not a curated record. Lineage: Eukaryota; Metazoa; Chordata; Mammalia; Carnivora; Felidae.
AGUUAAAGCGGUGUGAGUUAAUCUGUAAUUUCCCGCCCCCCCCCCCAAAAAAAGAGCAGUCAGAUGGCUUAUUAAAAAUAGGAGAGCAGAAACAGUAUUACCAGCUUCAUGUAAAGUUGGAUCUGCUCUUGGCUCAGUGGGCUCCUGCUGAUUCCCGGGGAGCAAACAGAAUCGCUGCGCAUCACAUAUGAGCACAGCCUUUUCUUUGACCUUGAGAUAAGGGACCACCCUCGGGGUCUGCAAAGCUCACGUGUCCUCUCCCUCCCCCGAAACACUUCCUUCUUUCCUCCAUUGUUUUUAAACAUGGAGUUUUAAGAUUUGAUUGAUUGAUUGAUUGAUUUUAAAUUUUAUUUUAAUUCCAGUGUUGUUAACAUUCAGUGUUAUAUUAGGUCUUCCUUCCUCCACUUUCGAUGAGUGAGCAUCUAGUGCUGAACGGAUUUAAUCUUGUGAAAGGCAGAACUUUCUGGAAGAUACAAAUUCACCUGACUUCGAUCAGAUAAAAGAUAAGGUCCCUAUAGUUCAGCGUGGGUGAGGAAGAGCGCCCACCUUAUGUGAAAAGUGCGGACUCGUUUCUGCCCUCUGCCAUCGUGGUGAAGGUUUGUUGAGCAACGGACCGCUUCCCUAAGGAGCAGGGUGCUCGCCGAGAACCUACGAAGAGCAUGGGCGUGGAGGCUGACCGCCUCGGGUCCAGCCCCGGGAUUCAGCUUGGAGCUGGGAUGCGCAGGUCACUGGGCGCCUGCACCUGCGUUCCCUCAUCUGCAGUGGCUGUGGGCAUCAGCGUCCUCAUCCGAGCUGUUGUAGGGACGAACCCGUGGACCCAGAGACUUUCGCCAGCCAAGGCCAGAGUCAUUCUGGGACAGCUGGCCCCCGAGCCCUGCUGAGGAGCCUGGACGCAGCCCUCUGCUCCGAGGAGCCGUAUUCCUGGCCGGACAUGAAAGGAAAGAUUAAAACAGCCCGUUCUCUGCCGGCUGCUUAUCCCAAGCGGGAGCCCAGCGAAAUCCAUGCCGCGAGCCCUCAUCCUUCUCGUCUCGUCCCACCAACCGCCGCAUCCUGACGGGGUCUGAUGAGACCUGGGGGUCUCGGGGUACACGGAGCCUGUGCCACACCCCGUGGGCCGCUUGUGCCCAUUCUGCGGAGGCGGCCGCUGGGGCUGAGGGAGGUGGCCGGUCCUCGAGUGACGGGUGACGAGUGACGGGGGUCGGCCUGCGAUGGGAUCCGCCCGUUGCAGCGCCCGGGUCCCUUCCUCCUUCCUAUUUGUCUUCUGCAGACCGAGGGGCUGGGCCUCGCCUGUACAGGGUGUUCCCUGCAGCUUCGGGAUGGUGUUGUGUAAUCCUGUGGCUGCGUGUGGUGUGUGGGACGCUGAGCGUGGGGGCCUCUGCGGGGUCAGGCAAGGUUAAGCCGAGGCCCGAGCCCGUGGCGUCGGAUGGGAGCGGCCGACAGCACCCCCUCGCCCUGGGGGACCGUGGGGGCAGAUGAUUUACGGCCGUCUCCUCCCUUGGUGCCACGGCAGAUGCAUCCGGAGACGACGUGAGGACACACAGAUGGGCGAGAAGAGUCUCCCACGAGGCGGCCCCGUCCCACUCGCCUGAAUCAGAGGGUCCGGCCGUGCCCGGCGGGGGCCCCGGGUGGGAGCCGGGCUUCCUUGGCUUUCUGUGACUUUACAAAAGCAUCGUGUUGUUAGCGCAGAGCUUUGGCACACCUGGGCCCGGCGUGCGAGGCUGCUCUGGAACAGAAGUGGUUCAAAGGGCAGGGCCGUUUGGCUGGCGCGUGGGCCACCCCAGCGCUCUCCGGCCUCUCUGUGUGAGAGCAGUAACUCUCCAGUGAGACGGAAACGAUUCUGAGAUAACCGGAGAACACUGGCUUUCCACGCACACAAACAAAGCAGUUCAAUUUUU